UAACACAUGCAAGUCGAACGGACCCUUCGGGGUUAGUGGCGGACGGGUGAGUAACACGUGGGAACGUGCCUUUAGGUUCGGAAUAGCUCCUGGAAACGGGUGGUAAUGCCGAAUGUGCCCUUCGGGGGAAAGAUUUAUCGCCUUUAGAGCGGCCCGCGUCUGAUUAGCUAGUUGGUGAGGUAAUGGCUCACCAAGGCGACGAUCAGUAGCUGGUCUGAGAGGAUGACCAGCCACAUUGGGACUGAGACACGGCCCAAACUCCUACGGGAGGCAGCAGUGGGGAAUCUUGCGCAAUGGGCGAAAGCCUGACGCAGCCAUGCCGCGUGGAUGAUGAAGGUCUUAGGAUUGUAAAAUCCUUUCACCGGUGAAGAUAAUGACUGUAGCCGGAGAAGAAGCCCCGGCUAACUUCGUGCCAGCAGCCGCGGUAAUACGAAGGGGGCUAGCGUUGCUCGGAAUUACUGGGCGUAAAGGGAGCGUAGGCGGACAUUUAAGUCAGGGGUGAAAUCCCGGAGCUCAACUUCGGAACUGCCUUUGAUACUGGGUGUCUUGAGUGUGAGAGAGGUAUGUGGAACUCCGAGUGUAGAGGUGAAAUUCGUAGAUAUUCGGAAGAACACCAGUGGCGAAGGCGACAUACUGGCUCAUUACUGACGCUGAGGCUCGAAAGCGUGGGGAGCAACCAGGAUUAGAUACCCUGGUAGUCCACGCCGUAAACGAUGAUUGCUAGUUGUCGGGGAGCUUGCUCUUCGGUGACGCAGCUAACGCAUUAAGCAAUCCGCCUGGGGAGUACGGUCGCAAGAUUAAAACUCAAAGGAAUUGACGG
RNAcentral lists this ribosomal RNA (820 nucleotides) under uncultured Brevundimonas sp. Its description in RNAcentral is "bacterial SSU rRNA". It matches the Rfam family "Bacterial small subunit ribosomal RNA", at positions 49 to 916 of the family's 1533-position model. Lineage: Bacteria; Pseudomonadati; Pseudomonadota; Alphaproteobacteria; Caulobacterales; Caulobacteraceae. The record is from RNAcentral.